GCUGGCGGCGUGCUUAACACAUGCAAGUCGAACGGAAAGGCCAGUGCUUGCACUGGUACUCGAGUGGCGAACGGGUGAGUAACACGUGGGUGAUCUGCCCUGUACUUCGGGAUAAGCUUGGGAAACUGGGUCUAAUACCGGAUAGGACAACUUUUUGGAUAUUGUUGUGGAAAGCUUUUGCGGUAUGGGAUGAGCUCGCGGCCUAUCAGCUUGUUGGUGGGGUAAUGGCCUACCAAGGCGUCGACGGGUAGCCGGCCUGAGAGGGUGUACGGCCACAUUGGGACUGAGAUACGGCCCAGACUCCUACGGGAGGCAGCAGUGGGGAAUAUUGCACAAUGGGCGCAAGCCUGAUGCAGCGACGCCGCGUGGGGGAUGAAGGCCUUCGGGUUGUAAACUCCUUUCGCUAGGGACGAAGCAUUUUUGUGACGGUACCUGGAGAAGAAGCACCGGCUAACUACGUGCCAGCAGCCGCGGUAAUACGUAGGGUGCGAGCGUUGUCCGGAAUUACUGGGCGUAAAGAGCUCGUAGGUGGUUUGUCGCGUCGUUUGUGUAAGUCCACAGCUUACCUGUGGGACUGCAGGCGAUACGGGCAUAACUUGAGUGCUGUAGGGGAGACUGGAAUUCCUGGUGUAGCGGUGAAAUGCGCAGAUAUCAGGAGGAACACCGAUGGCGAAGGCAGGUCUCUGGGCAGUAACUGACGCUGAGGAGCGAAAGCAUGGGUAGCGAACAGGAUUAGAUACCCUGGUA
RNAcentral lists this ribosomal RNA (747 nucleotides) under Corynebacterium sp. V17 201171. RNAcentral describes it as "bacterial SSU rRNA". It matches the Rfam family "Bacterial small subunit ribosomal RNA", at positions 35 to 792 of the family's 1533-position model. The record is from RNAcentral. Lineage: Bacteria; Bacillati; Actinomycetota; Actinomycetes; Mycobacteriales; Corynebacteriaceae.